Molecule: long non-coding RNA, 808 nt
Organism: Acipenser ruthenus (sterlet)
Lineage: Eukaryota; Metazoa; Chordata; Actinopteri; Acipenseriformes; Acipenseridae
Exons: 4
Source: RefSeq, a predicted model, not a curated record
UGAGAUCAGAUGACUACUUCAUUGCCGGAAGAGCUAUUGCUGUGAGCCUUGUACAUGGUGGACCACCUCCCCGAUUUCUGGCAACUGAAUUAUAUGAUGCACUAGUGAGAGGACCAGAAAAUGUGACCUGUGAUUUCCAGAAAAUUCCAGAUGAAGAUUUAAAGUCAAAACUGGAGAAAAUUGCUGAUGCGCAGAGUUUAGAAGCAGCAGUGGAUGUAGUCUUGAUGUCACAGGAUUUCCUCAGUUUAGCAGGGUGUUUGCGUCAUGUGACUUCUCUAGAAGGUCAUAAACAGCUUGUGAAAGAAGCUACAAACUGGUAUUUCUUUGGGUGAACAAGCAGUGCAUUUGAAAGGUUCAAGUUGGGUCUCUCUACCCUGGAUGUGUUAGAUGCAAUCCGGAAGUUUCCUCAAGCAUUUCAACCUGCCUUCUGCCACACAGAGACCAAACUUACCUCUCAAGAAAUUGAUCAGAUGUUCUCUAUCGUUCUGGAGAGUCAGGGAAGCAACAAAAGGCAGACGCAGUCAAAAGUCACAGGAUGGUGGCGAGAUUAUCUGAUAGAUGCACAGGGAAGAGGAAACCGGAGUUUCACUUGGAGAAAUUCUAGCUUUUGCCACAGGCACUUAUCCUCCAGCUCUAGGAUGGGAAACUAAGCCAUCCAUUGAAUUUAUUUACAGCAGCGACCUUUUCCCAACUGCAAACACAUGUGCUAAUGUUUUGCGUUUACCAACAGUUCACAAGGAAUAUGAGGACUUUAAAGAGAACAUGGACUUUGCCAUUCAGAAUUCUCCAGGGUUUGGGCAGGCAUAAA